RNAcentral lists this ribosomal RNA (388 nucleotides) under uncultured bacterium. RNAcentral describes it as "bacterial SSU rRNA". It matches the Rfam family "Bacterial small subunit ribosomal RNA", at positions 30 to 416 of the family's 1533-position model. The record is from RNAcentral.
AUUGAACGCUGGCGGCAUGCCUUACACAUGCAAGUCGAACGGCAGCACGGGAGCAAUCCUGGUGGCGAGUGGCGAACGGGUGAGUAAUAUAUCGGAACGUGCCCAGUCGUGGGGGAUAACGUAGCGAAAGCUACGCUAAUACCGCAUACGAUCUAUGGAUGAAAGCGGGGGAUCGCAAGACCUCGCGCGAUUGGAGCGGCCGAUAUCAGAUUAGGUAGUUGGUGAGGUAAAGGCUCACCAAGCCGACGAUCUGUAGCUGGUCUGAGAGGACGACCAGCCACACUGGGACUGAGACACGGCCCAGACUCCUACGGAGGCAGCAGUGGGGAAUUUUUGGGACAAUGGGCGCAAGCCUGAUCCAGCAAUAGCCGCGUGCAGGAUGAAGGCC